UACGGGGGGGGCAAGCGUUGUUCGGAAUUACUGGGCGUAAAGGGCGCGUAGGCGGCCUUCUAAGUCGGACGUGAAAUCCCUCGGCUUAACCGAGGAACUGCGUCCGAUACUGAAAGGCUUGAAUCCGGGAGAGGGAUGUGGAAUUCCAGGUGUAGCGGUGAAAUGCGUAGAUAUCUGGAGGAACACCGGUGGCGAAGGCGGCAUCCUGGACCGGUCCUGACACUCAUGAGCGAAAGCGUGGGGAGCGAUCCGG
RNAcentral lists this ribosomal RNA (253 nucleotides) under uncultured bacterium. RNAcentral describes it as "partial 16S ribosomal RNA". It matches the Rfam family "Bacterial small subunit ribosomal RNA", at positions 524 to 776 of the family's 1533-position model. The record is from RNAcentral.